AUACGGAGGGUGCAAGCGUUAUUCGGAAUUACUGGGCGUAAAGCGCGUGCAGGCGGGUGGACAAGUCUGAUGUGAAAGCCCCGGGCUCAACCUGGGAAGUGCAUUGGAAACUGUUCAUCUUGAGUGCUGGAGAGGAAGGGGGAAUUCCCGGUGUAGAGGUGAAAUUCGUAGAGAUCGGGAGGAAUACCAGUGGCGAAGGCGAACUUCUGGCCAAUGACUGACGCUGAGGCGCGAAAGUGCGGGGAGC
This 247-nucleotide ribosomal RNA is filed under the name uncultured bacterium. Its description in RNAcentral is "partial 16S ribosomal RNA". It matches the Rfam family "Bacterial small subunit ribosomal RNA", at positions 523 to 769 of the family's 1533-position model. The record is from RNAcentral.